This 404-nucleotide ribosomal RNA is filed under the name Brucella melitensis. RNAcentral's name for it is "partial 16S ribosomal RNA". It matches the Rfam family "Bacterial small subunit ribosomal RNA", at positions 355 to 776 of the family's 1533-position model. Lineage: Bacteria; Pseudomonadati; Pseudomonadota; Alphaproteobacteria; Hyphomicrobiales; Brucellaceae. The record is from RNAcentral. RNAcentral also lists the same sequence under 3 other names.
UGGGGAAUAUUGGACAAUGGGCGCAAGCCUGAUCCAGCCAUGCCGCGUGAGUGAUGAAGGCCCUAGGGUUGUAAAGCUCUUUCACCGGUGAAGAUAAUGACGGUAACCGGAGAAGAAGCCCCGGCUAACUUCGUGCCAGCAGCCGCGGUAAUACGAAGGGGGCUAGCGUUGUUCGGAUUUACUGGGCGUAAAGCGCACGUAGGCGGACCUUUAAGUCAGGGGUGAAAUCCCGGGGCUCAACCCCGGAACUGCCUUUGAUACUGGAAGUCUUGAGUAUGGUAGAGGUGAGUGGAAUUCCGAGUGUAGAGGUGAAAUUCGUAGAUAUUCGGAGGAACACCAGUGGCGAAGGCGGCUCACUGGACCAUUACUGACGCUGAGGUGCGAAAGCGUGGGGAGCAAACAGG